This is a long non-coding RNA of Mauremys mutica (yellowpond turtle), 510 nucleotides long. RefSeq lists it as uncharacterized. NCBI's taxonomy places the organism in Eukaryota, Metazoa, Chordata, Testudines, Geoemydidae. The record is from RefSeq and is a predicted model, not a curated record. The transcript is spliced from 3 exons.
AAGCACUUUACAGAGAAGGUCGGAAACAGGAGAGAAGUGGCUUGCCCAUGGUACCCCAGGAAAUUAGUGUCAGAGGGGAAAACUGAACACAAUUCUCUGGAGUCUUACACUAGUGCCUUAUCCACUAGGCUAUACUGCCACCCUAAGUUAGGAAAUUCAGAUGUGAACUUGAACCCCUGAUCUACUGCAGGUACAGAGAAAGGGCCUGAAAUACGUGUUGGCUGGGCUCUGUUUGACUAGCCAGGUGCUGCAGGGAAACUGGAGGAAGAAAAGAUUCCCAGGACCUGUAUGCAGAGCCACGUGUGGAACAAGCUGUGACUGGCAGAUAUUGCAGCUGGAUGCUGGUCUGUGUGAGACUUAUGGGGAACAGCAGCCAGUGCAUAGAGGCCCCAGUAAGAGACACUAACUGAGCCUGGCCUGGAAACCUGCAGGUGCCUAUUUGCUUGGAAUAGAAAUUUAACUGUGAAUUCAUCCUAGGCAAUAGCCUUGAAGAGCUCCGACUCUGUUGGA